ACAUUUCGUAUCUAGGUAUCCCGA
Molecule: non-coding RNA, 24 nt
Filed under: Arabidopsis thaliana (thale cress)
Lineage: Eukaryota; Viridiplantae; Streptophyta; Magnoliopsida; Brassicales; Brassicaceae
Source: RNAcentral